Molecule: ribosomal RNA, 890 nt
Filed under: uncultured bacterium
Lineage: Bacteria
Description: bacterial SSU rRNA
Rfam family: Bacterial small subunit ribosomal RNA
Source: RNAcentral
AGAGUUUGAUCCUGUCUCAGGACGAACGCGGCGGCUUGCUUAACACAUGCAGAGUCGAACGGAAAAGCCCUUCGGGGUACUCGAGUGGCGAACGGGUGAGUAACACGUGGGUGAUCUGCCCUGCACUUUGGGAUAAGCCUGGGAAACUGGGUCUAAUACCGGAUAGGACCACGCGCUUCAUGGUGUGUGGUGGAAAGCUUUUGCGGUGUGGGAUGGGCCCGCGGCCUAUCAGCUUGUUGGUGGGGUAAUGGCCUACCAAGGCGACGACGGGUAGCCGGCCUGAGAGGGUGACCGGCCACACUGGGACUGAGAUACGGCCCAGACUCCUACGGGAGGCAGCAGUGGGGAAUAUUGCACAAUGGGCGCAAGCCUGAUGCAGCGACGCCGCGUGAGGGAUGACGGCCUUCGGGUUGUAAACCUCUUUCAAUAGGGACGAAGCGCAAGUGACGGUACCUAUAGAAGAAGGACCGGCCAACUACGUGCCAGCAGCCGCGGUAAUACGUAGGGUCCGAGCGUUGUCCGGAAUUACUGGGCGUAAAGAGCUCGUAGGUGGUUUGUCGCGUUGUUCGUGAAAACUCACAGCUUAACUGUGGGCGUGCGGGCGAUACGGGCAGACUAGAGUACUGCAGGGGAGACUGGAAUUCCUGGUGUAGCGGUGGAAUGCGCAGAUAUCAGGAGGAACACCGGUGGCGAAGGCGGGUCUCUGGGCAGUAACUGACGCUGAGGAGCGAAAGCGUGGGGAGCGAACAGGAUUAGAUACCCUGGUAGUCCACGCCGUAAACGGUGGGUACUAGGUGUGGGUUUCCUUCCUUGGGAUCCGUGCCGUAGCUAACGCAUUAAGUACCCCGCCUGGGGAGUACGGCCGCAAGGCUAAAACUCAAAGGAAUUGA